RNAcentral lists this ribosomal RNA (253 nucleotides) under uncultured bacterium. RNAcentral's name for it is "partial 16S ribosomal RNA". It matches the Rfam family "Bacterial small subunit ribosomal RNA", at positions 524 to 776 of the family's 1533-position model. The record is from RNAcentral.
UACGUAGGGUGCAAGCGUUGUCCGGAAUUAUUGGGCGUAAAGAGCUCGUAGGCGGCGUGUCACGUCGGUUGUGAAAGCCCGGGGCUUAACUCCGGGUCUGCAGUCGAUACGGGCAGGCUAGAGUUCGGUAGGGGAGAUCGGAAUUCCUGGUGGAGCGGUGAAAUGCGCAGACAUCAGGAGGAACACCGGUGGCGAAAGCGGCUGCCUGGCCGAGUACUGACGCUGAGGCACGAAAGCGUGGGGAGCGAACGGG